UCGAAGACGCUGGCGGCGUGCCUAAUACAUGCAAGUCGAGCGGACAGAAGGGAGCUUGCUCCCGGAUGUUAGCGGCGGACGGGUGAGUAACACGUGGGUAACCUGCCUGUAAGACUGGGAUAACUCCGGGAAACCGGAGCUAAUACCGGAUAGUUCCUUGAACCGCAGGGUUCAAGGAUGAAAGACGGUUUCGGCUGUCACUUACAGAUGGACCCGCGGCGCAUUAGCUAGUUGGUGAGGUAACGGCUCACCAAGGCGACAAUGCGUAGCCAACCUGAGAGGGUGAUCGGCCACACUGGGACUGAGACACGGCCCAGACUCCUACGGGAGGCAGCAGUAGGGAAUCUUCCGCAAUGGACGAAAGUCUGACGGAGCAACGCCGCGUGAGUGAUGAAGGUUUUCGGAUCGUAAAGCUCUGUUGUUAGGGAAGAACAAGUGCAAGAGUAACUGCUUGCACCUUGACGGUACCUAACCAGAAAGCCACGGCUAACUACGUGCCAGCAGCCGCGGUAAUACGUAGGUGGCAAGCGUUGUCCGGAAUUAUUGGGCGUAAAGGGCUCGCAGGCGGUUUCUUAAGUCUGAUGUGAAAGCCCCCGGCUCAACCGGGGAGGGUCAUUGGAAACUGGGAAACUUGAGUGCAGAAGAGGAGAGUGGAAUUCCACGUGUAGCGGUGAAAUGCGUAGAGAUGUGGAGGAACACCAGUGGCGAAGGCGACUCUCUGGUCUGUAACUGACGCUGAGGAGCGAAAGCGUGGGGAGCGAACAGGAUUAGAUACCCUGGUAGUCCACGCCGUAAACGAUGAGUGCUAAGUGUUAGGGGGUUUCCGCCCCUUAGUGCUGCAGCUAACGCAUUAAGCACUCCGCCUGGGGAGUACGGUCGCAAGACUGAAACUCAAAGGAAUUGACGGGGGCCCGCACAAGCGGUGAGCAUGUGGUUUAAUUCGAAGCAACGCGAGACCUUACCAGGUCUUGACAUCCUCUGACACCCUAGAGAUAGGACU
Molecule: ribosomal RNA, 1000 nt
Filed under: Bacillus pumilus
Lineage: Bacteria; Bacillati; Bacillota; Bacilli; Caryophanales; Bacillaceae
Description: bacterial SSU rRNA
Rfam family: Bacterial small subunit ribosomal RNA
Source: RNAcentral